This 352-nucleotide transfer-messenger RNA is filed under the name bovine gut metagenome. It matches the Rfam family "transfer-messenger RNA". Rfam says of the family: Bacterial tmRNA, also known as 10Sa RNA or SsrA, is named for its dual tRNA and mRNA-like properties. Its role is to liberate the mRNA from a stalled ribosome. The record is from RNAcentral.
GGGGACGUAAAGGUUUCGACGGGGAUCCUGAAGCAUUGUAAGCGGGCGGAAGAGCGUGACUUCCAUAAAAAACGCAAACUCUAAAAUAAACGCUAACAAUAACAAAUUAGCAGCUGCCGCCUAAGCGCGGCCGCCGUCGUACCCGGGAGCACUGCGGCCCGGGAUACGGCGUCACUCAGCAGUGAACGUGAACGUCUUUAAGCUUUGCCGGACGUCAUGAUCUUAUGAAGCUACCCCGCCCGAAGGAUGACGCUUUCCGUCGGAACGGGGGAACUCAAAUAAGCGCCUGCGCCCGGAGAAAACGGUGUGGACGGGUUUUCGGACAGGGGUUCGAUUCCCCUCGCCUCCACCA